This 7293-nucleotide long non-coding RNA is filed under the name Fragaria vesca (wild strawberry). Its description in RNAcentral is "long non-coding RNA (FVES_LNC003900)". The record is from RNAcentral. Lineage: Eukaryota; Viridiplantae; Streptophyta; Magnoliopsida; Rosales; Rosaceae.
CUCAAAUGGGCAUCCAAUUUCAGCGGUCACCAGGACUUACCAAUCUCAACGAGAAUGGUUAAGCCUGUCACUAAAGUUGAAGCAUUUUUCACUGAGUAAGGACGACUUGAAGAGUGUAGCCAUCAAGUACUGGUGGAAUUUCACCAAGAACAAGGAUCCGAAGGAUUUCGACCAGUCUGUGUUGGAGGAGUUUGCAGUAUCUUCCAUAGAAAAAGAAAUCCGUCGCCGCAGGCAAGUGAAGAAGAAGCAUACAAUAAGGUCUCUUCAUAAGUUGGAUACUCAGGGUAGUGCUAGCCAGAAGUUGCAGAAGGUUAUCAGUAGGGUCAUGAAGGAUCAGUUGCCUUCACCUGUUUGUGCUCUAGAUGGCAGGUAAUUAAUUAGCUGCCUAAGCUAAGCUUUUUUGAGUAUUAUUAAUGGAUCUAGCUAGUUUCAAAGAUCAAGUGUAAUUAACAAAUAACAAGCCCCUAAUCAGAAUAAAGUACCUCCUUUUGGAUAGCUCUGAUUUUGAGCACGUGCGUAGUGCAAAAUCCUACAACACGUACACAAGGUCUCCCGUGAUUCAGACCGAGUCGGGUAUAUUUGAGACUGGACUCAUGGAUUUGAAGGAGCCCAAGUGUGGAGCCAAUAGCAGCCCAGUAGCUAUUUAUGCCAUGCACAGUAUGCACUACCCUGGCCUCCGAUGACCGAAGCAAGAGGACGACAUCAUGAGUCAUCAAUCAUGACAACUCGUUACGAUUAUGGUGUUAUUUACAUAACAUUAUAUAUAGUUUAACAAACACAGAGUCUAACUGGCCGGGUUUAAUUGUGUUGAUUUGUUAUAGUUCACGAUGAUAGAAAGCCUCCAACUAUUACAUACUGACUUAAAAAAUGUAAGGACAGCAAGAGAUAUGGAGUGCUUGGAGUUCUAAUGACUUUAACUCCUAGAAGAUCGAAGAUCGAAAAAACAAUUAGACCAAAUGCAAAUGUAGUGUGUAUGGUUCUUCUUUUUCUUCCAUCAACACACAACAGGUAACUAAACUAUCACAAGUGGUUAUCCAAAAAAAAUAAUUAAUAUCACAAGUGGACAUUGUCAACCAAAUUAUAGAAUUAGAGGUUGAUGAUUAUAAAUUAGUUUCUAAAGAAUGAGGUAAUGUAGUGGGCAUAUUUUGGUUUAUCAGUGGUGUUCACAUAGUCACAUAGUGACUAAGGAAAUUAUAAUUAAUCAUUGUUUGAUGUAAAUUCAAGGGUGGAAAUGUGGAAAACAAAACAACUUAAUUUUACAAUAAUACUUCUCAUAUUUAGAUUUACAUUCAACAGUAAUUGACCAUGAUUUCUUUAGUCAUUAGGUGACCAUAUGAACACUACUAUUUGGUUUAUAACAACAUAUUCCCUCAAAAUGCCCCAACAUAUCCCCAACAUAAGCUAGAAACUAAUAUCAAAAUCAAAAUAUGUGUACAUGUUGAGGUUACUAUAUUAUUAUCUACAGAGGGCCGGUUGACUCUGAAGAGGAGUGUUGUUUAAGGUUCCUAAUUAACUUAACCUCCAAUGUCUAAAGGUCUAAGCAGGAAUUAAGGGAGGAUAUAUAUAUAUAUAUACUACCAGAAGAAAGACUUUAGCCGAAACGAAAAAAAAAAACAGGCCGNNNNNNNNNNNNNNNNNNNNGUUCAUUUCUAGGGAUAGAUCAUUUGACGAACUUUUUUAUCACAAAAUCAAAUCUCCACCGUUCAGUUCGUUGGGCUAUAUGAGUAGAUCACUUAUGCAAAUUUUCAGAAAAUUUGGUGAUCGUUAAGUCAUCCAAAUGAGGGAUUUAUUUUUAAUGAUUUUGAACGGUGUAGGUUUGACAUAAGUGUUAAGUUUUUUGUUUUAAUCUCAACCAUUCAAGCCCAUUAAAAAACAGAUCUAAUGUAGUGGACCUAUCCCUAAAAAUGAAAAAAAAUAGGGAUCCCUCAUUAGAAGGGCCCUAUAUAUAGCAGGGAUGUGAAGUGGACGUCCGCACAGUCCUUAAAGUGCAGACGUCCCUCCGUUCUCCACCGAACGGCUCCAACGACGCGGCGCCUCCACCCCAGCGGCCUCCAGCAGCGUCCCCGAUCACUUUUCCUCCUCGGCGAGUCCGCUGAAUUCCAGUUUUCCGGUGAGAUUGAUUUUGUUUGAAGUUUUGGGUGAUCUCGGCGGACUCGCCGGGGAGGGAAAGUGAUCGGGGACCCUGCUGGAGGCCGCUGGGGUGGAGGCGCGCCGUUAUCGGAGCCGUACGGAGGAGAACGGAGGGACGUCCGCACUUUAAGGCCGAUGCGGACGUCCACUCCUCAUCCGGCCUGUAUAUAUAUAAACAUAAACCCAUCAAGGUUUUACAUCAAUUUAAAUAGUCACAAAGAAAGUACAUUAUAAAGACCUCCACUUUUGGUUCUUUUUCCAUGUGGGAUAAAUCUAACACAAGUUCCAACAUGACUCUAUCCCAGAUGUUUGAAGAUUGGAUCACUGAACACGAUCUUAUCUACGUACGUACUCCAACAAUUUGAAGAGAAAGCAAGACGGUAUCAGAUUUUUAUAGCCAAAUAUCUCUCUCUGUAAAAGUUCAACAAAGAAGGUGCGCAUAGUGAUGAUAUUCGGCUUAAAGAUUUGAAACCGCCUUGCUUCGAUCUCUUCAUUGUUGGAAUAAACACAAUAUGUACAGUACUUUGAAUUUUUAUGCAAGGUUGGAUUGGGCCUUGUAAACUUGGGUUCAUGCAUUCAUUUUACAGGAUUAGAUAGACGAGCUAACUCAUCCAAGCCACAAAAAACAACCCAAAUAGAUUAGAGGCCCACUGGCCCAUAACCCAUCUCUCUCUUCUCCUUUCCUUCAAAAGUGUUUACCUUGUCUUCUAGCUACAAGGUUGUUUAAGAUUCCAUAAGAAAUUCUACUUAUUGAAGAUGAUAAUUCUAGAUAGAAAAAUUAUUGGUUUUAUAAAAAGAUUCAGUUUUAAGCACGUACUUGGUAAAACAAAAACGAUAAGAAAAAAGUUGUAAUUUGUAACAAUAUAUUGUCUUUUAUUGUAAUUCAGUAUUAAGGUAAUUUAAUCUUUUAAUAAAUCAACAUCUUGUAUGAUAAGUAAAGUGGAUGAUAAGGUGACAAUAGCCACACCCUUUGAAGUCGGCAUAUUCUGUCCAAUCUGAAGUCUAAUACAUUUUGAAAUCCUAAUCAAAUCUUAACUACUCUACCAAACACGGCCAAAAUGUAAAACUCCACUUUGAUAUAGUUGGGUGAUUUUUGGACUUCGAUAAAAGUGGCGGCAGGGCUUACAUGUCCUCUGAAAUGGUUUUCAAUGUAAGACCUGCUACCAUGAUACCAUCCUACCCAACUUCACUAGAGAAACCUGUUAGUUUGCUACGAUAAGUCGAUAACUAAAAGCAAUUUAGACUUCCAAUUCUGAAACUACAAAAACCAUGUGGGGGAUGACAAAUGCAAACACAAAUCUUUCCAUUAUAUAUAAGCAUGCAUGAACCUAUGGAGCCCUAACUGCAGGAGCAGGCACCAAAAUUGCCUCCUACCAAAUUGCGUAUCAUACCAAUAACACCAUUUACCUAAUCAGCCCCCGUUGUGAUUUCUUCAUUUUCCUAAGGAUUGAAUUUAGUUGGGCCUCUUGAUUUAUCAAACAAUGGGCAUCGGCGCAGUUAAGAUGAGGGAUAAGUUCAUUCCUAUAUGUUUACAAGCUUUCUUGUAGCCUCUCAAACUGCGAAACAUAUGAAACUGUAUACAUCUAACUUGGCUUUUCUAGUGCUAGACAAAAACCAAUUUCACGUGUAUCAUGAAGUUUGGUUUCUCCGACUCACAGUUUCUCCCUAGAGAGGAAUGAGUUGUUAGGGUUGAGAUAUAUCGUAAUUCGUAAGCGGUUGUUAAGCUCAUAGAGCUGAGUAACCUCGAUGAAAAUGGUGAUGAACGAGCUAAUGAUCAAGGAGCUACAGCAGUUGAUCAAAGUCAGAAGAAGUCAAAAGUUUGACCUUGACGGUGGGCGCGUGGCUUUCAAAUGUGUAGGUGUUCUUGAGGAUUCUUGUGAAGCUGUUAUCCUUUCCCUCAUAACAACUCUUCAGGAGCAGCACUCUCGUGACCAAGAAGAAAAGAUCUAGACCCUACACGUGUCCCUUUUGUAGCUGUCAAGAAAGAUAUUUUCUCUGCAUGGUGAAAUCUAGCAGCGGUUACAGUGCGAGGGAGGACCUGUUUAAUUUCAUACCACUCGUUCACGGUUCACUGUAAUAAUUCGUACACUCAACCAAAAAAAAAAAAAAGGAAAUCAUUGAUACCAAAAGGAAAAACUUCACCAAAUGAAGUGAAUCCUGAGCUUAUAUCAAACAAAAUUGCAUGUCAAUAUAAUAGAAUGUGGUGCUAUUGAUUCACACUCAUAGUUGAUCGAGUAUAGUGCAUGUUUCUCAAUCUUUGUUUCGAAGGCGAUUCAGUUGCUGCAAAAUUGAGGAUUGUUAUAGAAAAACGAUUCAGUUUCGAGUCAUAUGGCCAACCCUGAAGUAGCUGUAAAUGUAGAGCACUUGGAAGAAGAGAAAACUCAGAGGUCAGUCGUUCUUCACCUCACUUUAAGAUUAUGCAUUUUCUUCUUGUAUAUUAUAGUGAUGAGUGUAACUUGUGGUCUUAUUGUGUGAUUUUAGAUCGGUUGUUGAUGAACAUAGCGAGUUAGAGACUACUGCAACGGCAGAAUCUGUCCCAAAAGAUGGAGGAGAUACAAAAGAAGCUAGAAGCUGCAGGUUAUCCUUCAAUACAAUUUUCAAUCGAAAUGGGAACUUCCUUCCUAUGUGGAACAACGUAUUUGUAGUAUCUUGUGUGUUUACUGUCUCCUUUGAUCCUUUGUUCUUCUACAUUCCGAUCAUUAACGAGAAGAAGAAGUGUCUAUAUUUUGACACAAGGUUGAAGACCGUAGCCCUCGUCUUACGGUUACUCACAGAUCACUUCUACAUUGCGGACAUUAUUAUGCGAAUUUUGACCAGUAUACGUCAAACCAAGUUAUCAAAGGCUUCUGGGGUGAUGAAAGCACAAUCGGAAUCUCCUGAUUUGAAAGGGAAGACAUCAGUUGGUGAUGUUUUUGAAAUAGCUAAGAGGGCUUGGGCGAAAACUAAUAGAUCAUACGUCCUGAUUGACAUUUUAGCUAUUCUUCCCAUACCCCAGGUAAUCAAGAGAACCCUUUCAUGGUGUAAUGUUGCUUAAUUUCUUUCUUUCUAGCUAGUUGUCUGAAUCUUUACUUGCCAUUUGCAGGUGGCAAUGUUCAUUUUCUUUUCGAAAAUGGAGGGUCCGGGAUGGUCAAAAGAAAGAAGGCUUUUCGACACUCUUAUUAUAUUCCAAUUUGUCCCACGAGUUCUUCCCGUUUACUUAUUGUGCAGAGAACGCGAGAGAACUCUUAACAAAGCAAGCAUGUGGACUAAAGGUGUUUUCAAUUUCUUCCUGCACAUCCUUGCAAGUCAUGUAAGCCCUAAUACUGAGGCUAGUUACGUACUUACAUUUCUUUCAUAAUUUCCACCUAUAUGCAAUUGUCUUAAUUUGCAGAACAAAUGUUAAGUAGUUUUUGGUUUUAAGGUACUCGGAGCUCUUUGGUACUUCUUUGCCAUUCAACGAGAGGUGGAUUGUUGGCAUAUGCAUUCUGGUUGGCAACACCACAAUAGAUGCCAACUUAGUACCUAUAGUUCUAGCGCAGGACAAGAUGGAUUGAGAAAUAUCCCAUUGUUAGACAUAAAAUGUCCGAUAAACCUGCCGGAAGAAAAGAAAGGAAAGCCCUUUGAUUUUGGUAUAUUUGCUGAUGCACUUGACUCCGGCCUAGUGCAGACUACUGAUUUUCCUGAAAAAUUCUUGAAUUGUUUCUGGUGGGGGCGGCAAAAUCUGAGGUUUGCACAUAUUACUAGUUCUGUGCUUUGUUUACAUAUCUUCAUGACCUAGGAGAUGUUCUUAUAUACUAAUUGCUGCAUUUGUUUUGUUUCUAAUUGUGCAGCUCUCUGGGUCAAAACCUCCAUACAAGCACCUAUGCAUGGGAAAACCUCUUUGCUGUGUUUAUUUCGAUCAUAGGCUUGCUAUUGUUUAUAUAUCUCAUCGGAAAUUUGCAGGUUGGUGUCCAGUUUAUGAUACCUUAAUGCUCAUGUAUUACAUAGAAAUGCAUUUUGAUCAGUACUAUAUGUUUAAUGAACUAAACCUAUGCUUCUUUUGUCGUGGACUAUCAUAUUGUAGACAUACUUGCAGUUUGCGACUACAAGAUCAGAGAAGCUCAGACGAAAGAUGAAAACGAAAAAUUUAGAGGUUGAUUUGUGGCUAUCAAGAAAAGGCCUGCCUAGCAAUUUGAAGGUAGUGAUAAUGCAAAUCAUACAACAAAAACUUGAACAGAACAAAGAUGUUCAAGUUGAGGACACCCUUUCUGUUCUUCCUUCAGCACAUAGUAAAUAUAUCAGGCGCUAUCUUAGUUUGGCUACACUCAAGAAAGUAAGCAUUUCCUUUGUGAAUAUAACAGUGGAAAGGCCUAGCCAUCGUUAACGUACAACAAGUUUUUCUUGAACUUAGGUGCCAAUGCUUCAAACUAUGGUGGUAAGAAUGCUAAAAGCAAUCUGUGAACACCUUACGCCGGUGGACCAUCCAGAGGACAGUUACAUUAUCCGAGAGGGGAAGCAACUCCAUCAGAUGAUUUUCAUCACACAUGGUACUGUACAGACCUACAAGACCAAUGGUAAAGGUGGAAAAAUUGGUUCCAAGUUUCUUGAGAAAGGGGACUACUAUGGAGCAGAAGAACUUCUCAAAUGGGCAUCCAAUUUCAGCGGUCACCAGGACUUACCAAUCUCAACGAGAAUGGUUAAGCCUGUCACUAAAGUUGAAGCAUUUUCACUGAGUAAGGACGACUUGAAGAGUGUAGCCAUCAAGUACUGGUGGAAUUUCACCAAGAACAAGGAUCCGAAGGAUUUCGACCAGUCUGUGUUGGAGGAGUUUGCAGUAUCUUCCAUAGAAAAAGAAAUCCGUCGCCGCAGGCAAGUGAAGAAGAAGCAUACAAUAAGGUCUCUUCAUAAGUUGGAUACUCAGGGUAGUGCUAGCCAGAAGUUGCAGAAGGUUAUCAGUAGGGUCAUGAAGGAUCAGUUGCCUUCACCUGUUGGUGCUCUAGAUGGCAGGUAAUUAAUUAGCUGCCUAAGCUAAGCUUUUUUGAGUAUUAUUAUAGCUAGUUUCAAAGAUCAAGUGUACUUAACAAGCCCCUAAUCAGAAUAAAGUACCUCCUUUUGGAUAGCUUUUGAUUUUGAGUACGUAGUGCAAAAACCUACAACACGUACACAAGGUCUCCCGUGAUUCAGACCGAGUCGGGUAUAUUUGAG